Leptidea sinapis is the source of this 2414-nucleotide long non-coding RNA. RefSeq lists it as uncharacterized. The transcript has 2 exons. Lineage: Eukaryota; Metazoa; Arthropoda; Insecta; Lepidoptera; Pieridae. The record is from RefSeq and is a predicted model, not a curated record.
AAAUGCCUUAACACUACCAGGCUCCAGCAAGAACGUACCAUAAUCUAAUAUACUUCUUAUAAGAGCAUUAUAUAACAAUUUCAUGCAAAAAGGGUGCGCACCCCACCAAACACCUGACAGACAUCUUAAAAUAUUAAGAGUACGCUCACAUUUAGCAUUUAGGUAAUCACAAUGUGGGAUACCAGUUAGUUUCGAAUCUAAGACAAUUCCCAAAAACUUAACAUUAUCUUUAACUGGAAUCUGAUAACCCUCAUAAAAUAUAGAAAUAGGAGGAGGAGUUCUUGAUCUCGUGAAUAAAACUAUUGUACUUUUUUCAGGUGAUAGAUCAAGGCCAUUUAAGUCCAACCAAGUUUUUAAAUUUAUCAGCGGUUGUGUUAUAGAAGAACUAGCUUUUUCAAUAGAAAUAUCACGACAGUAAAUUAAUAGAUCAUCAGCAUACUGAAGAACAUUUACACUAAUAAGUGAUGAUUUUAAAUCGUGUGUAUAAAUAUUAUACAAUAUUGGGCUAAGUACUGAUCCCUGGGGGAGGCCCUUUGAAACAAGUCGAGUAAUUGACUUCCUGUCAUCUAGUUUCAGGAUUAUGUAUCUUUCGGAAAGCAUGUUUAUGAUAAAAUUUGUUAAUAGCAGAGUUAUAUUAAGUUGUAAAAGCUUACUCUUUAAAAUACUUAUUACGACAUUAUCAUAGGCACAAUUUAUAUCUAAGAACGCAGCUAUUACUGAUUUAUUAUUUGAAAAUGAUAAUUGAAUAUCAGAAAUGAAUAUACUUAAGCUAUCAAUAGUACUUUUCCCACGUCUGAAACCGAAUUGGGAUUCACAUAAUAGACCGUUAUGCUCAACAAACCAUUCUAAACGAUUUUUUAUAAGAUGUUCUGUAAUUUUCAUCAAAACAGAAGAAAGUGCGAUUGGGCGAUAGGCAGAAUGGUCUGAAGAACACCUAUUAGGUUUCAGUACGGGAAUUAUUUCUUGACAUUUCCACGUGGAGGGGAUGUUACCAGAUGUCACUAUGGAAUUUAUAAGAGAUAAAUAAUAAAAUAAAGCAUCAUCAUCUAAAUGAGAGAUAAAGGAAUACGGAAUACCGUCCAGUCCAGGAGCAGAAUCCUUAACAUGAGACAAUACACCUUUUAGUUCAGUGAGAGAAAAUAUACUGUUUAAACCAAAACAGUUAUCAUUAUUUAUAUUUAUUACAGGGUAACCAAUUAUUAAGUCUUCAGGAACGAAAGGUGGAGCCAAUUUAUCUAAAAAGCUAUUAACUAAAUGAAAAGGGAUUGAUUUUGGGGAUGAAUCUUUGUAUGCAGAUCUAAACCUUCUUAUAUUUUGCCAUACAAGAGAUGGUUUGACAUCAGGUGAUAUUGAAUAGCAGAAAUUUUUCCAGCCAUCAAAUUUCUUUUUCUUUAGAAAUUUUGAAGUUUCUGACAUACUCUUUGUAAGAAUUUCAAAAUUCUCAUCAGUGGAACAUUGACAGUAUGUAAUUUCAGCAUAUUUUCUUCUCUUUACUGCCACAGUACAUUCGUUAUCCCACCAAGGAGGAGAAGGAAUAAAACCCAAAGAGCUAUUUUUACUUGGAAAUAUCUCAUUGGCAACCUCAAUAAAGAUUCUUGCUAAAGAAUCUGCACACUGAGAUUCUGUACCUGAAUUAAUUUUUGGAAGUGUUGGAAAUGAUAAUAAUAGUGGGAAGUGAUCACUACCAAAAGUAGAUCGUAAUGGAUCCCAGGACAAAGAGGACGCAAGAUUAGGUGUAGUGACUGUUAAAUCUGGAUCACUUGGGCCCUCGUCAGGAUGAGAACGUCGUGUAGGACGACCAUCAUUUAAUAUACACAAAUUCACUGAAUCAAAUAUAUCUAUUAAUGUGUUACCAUAACUAUUAGAAGAUAAGUAACCCCAGGAUUCAUGGCGACAGUUAAAAUCACCAAGGAUCAUAAAAGGCUUCGGAAGAAUGGAAAUAAUAUCUUUAAUUUCAUUUAAGAUUGCAAAAGAAGGAUGAGGUAUAUAAAUAGAUACAUAACAGAUAUUUUCAACUAAAGCAGCAAUAAUAGAAAAAUCAUUACUGUGAGAAGGAAUAGAGAAGAGAGAAAAGGAAAGAGGGUGUUUCACAAGCAUGGCUACUCCGCCAUGCCCAUCCACACGAUCUUCUCUGAGACAUGAACAACCACGAAUCUUAAAUAAAGAUCCUGGUUUCAACCAUGUCUCUUGAAGAGCACAGAUAUAAGGUUUAUAUUUAUUUAAUAAAUAAAUAAGAUCACUUUUUUUAGGAGUGAUGCUUUGACAAUUCCAUUGAAGAACUUUGUCCAUUAUUUGGUUUAUAAAUUUGAGUAAUUGCAGAAACUAAUAAGGCAGCGUUGGACGGUGAAAAUUCAUUCGAUUGACUAAGAGAUUUUAUAAGAGAAAUAAUUAAAUCAAUUACUGAGGAUUCCAAA